CAGUCGAGUAUCCUUAGGAACC
Molecule: microRNA, 22 nt
Filed under: Caenorhabditis remanei
Lineage: Eukaryota; Metazoa; Nematoda; Chromadorea; Rhabditida; Rhabditidae
Description: crm-miR-237-3p
Gene: crm-miR-237-3p
Source: miRBase by way of RNAcentral